Long non-coding RNA from Equus asinus (donkey), 1744 nucleotides. The record is from Ensembl. NCBI's taxonomy places the organism in Eukaryota, Metazoa, Chordata, Mammalia, Perissodactyla, Equidae.
AUGUGGGGAUCACUUCCUGAAACCCUUCCCUAGCACUAUACUUCUAACUGAAAGGUGGUAGAGAAUAGUGGUUAAAGCCUUAGAUCUGGGGUCCAGAGUCUGGGAUUCCCAGGUCAAACUUGGCUGAGCAGCAGAAUCACCAGAGAGAACUAAAUAGGAAAUACAGACUUCUGGGCCCCACCCUUGCAAACUCUGAUUCAGUUGAUCUGGAAUAUAGCAAAAAAAAAAAAAAAAAUCAAUUUUUUUCCCAAAAUUCCAGAUACUUCUGAUAAACAGGUUUAGGAACCACUGGUCUACCCUAGGGCAUUGGUCUCUAAAGUGGGAGGGACACAUCUGGGCGGGAAGACCAAGAUAAGUUAAUAAGGAUGUGGGAAGAAUAUAUUACAAUUUCCAUUCGUAUUUGUUUUCAGUUUAAAAAUUAGGAAUGAGAUUGAGUUUUACUAAUAUUUCAUAUACUGAUUGACACUGGUGUCCUCACUGGGUCUGCAUGUUAGAUUAUAUGCAAAGUAUCCUGAGGGAAGGAUUGAGGUUCCAAACUCAGGGCUGUUGGUAAUAGCCACUCGCUUACUCAUUCUCUUUCAGCUUCUUAUUAUAUUAUCCAAUAUUAACUAAACUACUCUUUCCAAAAUGGGCACACCUUGAAAAUGUUCCUGCAAAGAGACUGAAGCUAGCAGAUAAUAUUUAAGAUGCAAGCACAGAGAGCAAGAAUAAAAUGGCAGAAUUGACAUGCCUCUUACUCCUAUCACAAGUUCAUCAUCAUUUGUUUUAUGAGGAAAAUAAAAAACAAUCUAAUCAGCUCUCAAAAGAAAUGGGUCAAAAGUGUUUCAGUCAUCAAGACUAUUUAAUAUGGAUUUAUAGCACCAUCAUUGAAUCACUCCCUAAAAACAUAUGUUCCUGUGCACAUUUGCUAAUAGAUAGUGUGUCUGGACUCAAUUUUUUUCUGAUGGCAGUGCCAAAUGGGAAAGCUUGAAGAACACUGCAUCGGGGAGAAAGCAGCUAUUGCUUAUCCUUUUUCCACCUCCUGGAAACGUUGUGAUCUCUCCCUGUUUCUGUUCAGCUCUUCAUGGGUUCCCUGCCUCUGUGUCCUGCAGAGCACAGUAGUAAGUGGCAGCGUCUGCCACCUGCACCUGGAGGAUGAGCAGUGAUGAGGAGAAUCGCUCGUAUGUCAUGUUGUAGCGUCCCUGCUGAGAAGGGCUUGAGCCCCUAACAAGGAGUCUUGGUGCACAUCCUGGGAGAUGAAGGUACCAGAAGAAACUGUAAGCAUUGGAUAUAGAGUGAUUACAGGAGAUUUCUGCCACAGCUCCCUCCGAAGAUACCACAGUGGAAGGCUGAAGUACUUGGUCCUUGCUCUCUGCAACUGCAGGGAACAAAUAAAGAAGGCUGUGAUUUUUAUGCUGCUGUUUGACUUACUGAUCACCCCUUAGAUGAUGAAGGAGUCUACUCACCCUUCCAGAGAAAGCUGAGGAGGAGGCCCAGCCACACCGCUUCCAGAGCACUCUGUAAAGCCAUGGCCAAAAUGCAGCUGGUCUCAGGCCUCAGCUAUUUUCUUGUGAUUAUAAUUGAAAAAGAAGAAUAAACAAGAUUUGAGGCAAUUCAAAGUCUAUACAGUGAAGUUUUGAUGGGCACCACUGCCUCCUAGUGGACUACAUGGGAACUGAUGGGAAAUCUUUUUUCCCUACGGAGCCGAAGACAGUGUUGGGAGCCUCUCCCAUCUUGAACAGAUUUCAUACCCUUUCCUUUUGUU